Molecule: ribosomal RNA, 305 nt
Filed under: uncultured bacterium
Lineage: Bacteria
Description: bacterial SSU rRNA
Rfam family: Bacterial small subunit ribosomal RNA
Source: RNAcentral
CAUAAUACCCACGGGUCAAAGGAGCAAUUCGCUUGAGGAGGAGGUCGCGGCCCGAUUAGUUAGUUGGCGGGGUAAUGGCCCCACCAAGACGGUGAUCGGUAUCCGGCCUGAGAGGGCGCACGGACACACUGGAACUGAAACACGGUCCAGACUCCUACGGGAGGCAGCAGUGGGGAAUUUUGCGCAAUGGGGGAAACCCUGACGCAGCAACGCCGCGUGGAGGAUGAAGUCUCUUGGGACGUAAACUCCUUUCGAUCGGGACGAUUAUGACGGUACCGGAAGAAGAAGCCCCGGCUAACUUCGUG